RNAcentral lists this ribosomal RNA (482 nucleotides) under uncultured Alphaproteobacteria bacterium. RNAcentral's name for it is "bacterial SSU rRNA". It matches the Rfam family "Bacterial small subunit ribosomal RNA", at positions 396 to 896 of the family's 1533-position model. The record is from RNAcentral. Lineage: Bacteria; Pseudomonadati; Pseudomonadota; Alphaproteobacteria.
GCCGCGUGAGUGACGAAGGCCUUAGGGUCGUAAAGCUCUUUCGCCAGAGAUGAUAAUGACAGUAUCUGGUAAAGAAACCCCGGCUAACUCCGUGCCAGCAGCCGCGGUAAUACGGAGGGGGUUAGCGUUGUUCGGAAUUACUGGGCGUAAAGCGCACGUAGGCGGAUUGGAAAGUAUGGGGUGAAAUCCCAGGGCUCAACCCUGGAACGGCCUUGUAAACUCCCAGUCUAGAGUUCGAGAGAGGUGAGUGGAAUUCCAAGUGUAGAGGUGAAAUUCGUAGAUAUUUGGAGGAACACCAGUGGCGAAGGCGGCUCACUGGCUCGAUACUGACGCUGAGGUGCGAAAGUGUGGGGAGCAAACAGGAUUAGAUACCCUGGUAGUCCACACCGUAAACGAUGAAUGCCAGACGUCGGGGGGCUUGCCCUUCGGUGUCACACCUAACGGAUUAAGCAUUCCGCCUGGGGAGUACGGUCGCAAGAUUA